UACGUAGGGGGCAAGCGUUGUCCGGAAUCAUUGGGCGUAAAGAGCGUGUAGGCGGCCCGAUAAGUCCGCUGUGAAAGUCCAGGGCUCAACCCUGGGAUGCCGGUGGAUACUGUCGGGCUCGAGUCCGGAAGAGGAGUGUGGAAUUCCGUGGUGUAGCGGUGAAAUGCGCAGAUAUCAGGAGGAACACCAAUGGCGAAGGCAGCACUCUGGGACGUGACUGACGCUGAGACGCGAAAGCGUGGGGGAGCAAACAGG
Molecule: ribosomal RNA, 255 nt
Filed under: uncultured bacterium
Lineage: Bacteria
Description: partial 16S ribosomal RNA
Rfam family: Bacterial small subunit ribosomal RNA
Source: RNAcentral